GCUACAGUUCCAGAGCUCUCUAAGGAAGACCCAGGCAACAUGGUCUCAAAAGCAAUAUAGAAGUGGUUGACAUACAGCCUACAUUCCACUACACACCUUAUAUCUUUAACCCUGUGCCCUGAUUCCUGAGAGCAGUUUAUUGUUGUUACAGCCCCACAUGUGUGUCUGUGCCAAGGACCCAUAGCAAUGACCUGCAAAGCAACACAAUUCCUUGGGUACAAUAAUGGCUCUUACAUCUUAAGAAUAAACAACAUUCAUCUAAUCAAACAUAAUUACAAAAGGAGUGGCUGAAUUUCUGACUUCCUGUGCUAACAUUUCCACCUGGAACUUAUCCACUGCAGAGUCCUAAGGAGAAGCCCAAAGUUGUCACUUAGCUCAUCAGUAAGCUGCAUAACUUUGUUAUCAGAAUGACUCAAGACAUUGACCAGUUCUCUCCUCAACCCCUGUACCACCCCCUUCACAUACAUGUGCACACACAAAUAGAACAAAAACAUUCCCCAGAAGUCCUCACUACUGACACAGUUGUGUCAGUAUAUAAUUUACCAACUCAGGAAUGAUAGUACUUAUAAUGUAUUCAUU
This is a long non-coding RNA of Mesocricetus auratus (golden hamster), 579 nucleotides long. RefSeq lists it as uncharacterized. The transcript has 3 exons. The record is from RefSeq and is a predicted model, not a curated record. Lineage: Eukaryota; Metazoa; Chordata; Mammalia; Rodentia; Cricetidae.